RNAcentral lists this ribosomal RNA (900 nucleotides) under uncultured Mycoplasma sp. RNAcentral's name for it is "bacterial SSU rRNA". Lineage: Bacteria; Bacillati; Mycoplasmatota; Mollicutes; Mycoplasmatales; Mycoplasmataceae. The record is from RNAcentral.
GGUGAGUAACACGUGCUUAAUCUACCUUUUAGAUUGGAAUACCUAAUGGAAACAUUGGUUAAUGCCGGAUACGCAUGAAGUCGCAUGACUUCGUUGUGAAAGGAGCGUUUGCUCCGCUAAGAGAUGAGGGUGCGGAACAUUAGCUAGUUGGUGAGGUAAUGGCCCACCAAGGCUAUGAUGUUUAGCCGGGUCGAGAGACUGAACGGCCACAUUGGGACUGAGAUACGGCCCAAACUCCUACGGGAGGGCAGCAGUAGGGAAUAUUCCACAAUGAGCGAAAGCUUGAUGGAGCGACACAGCGUGCACGAUGAAGGCCCUCGGGUUGUAAAGUGCUGUUGCAAGGGAAGAACAGUUAGUUGAGGAAAUGCUUCUAAUCUGACGGUACCUUGUUAGAAAGCGAUGGCUAACUAUGUGCCAGCAGCCGCGGUAAUACAUAGGUCGCAAGCGUUAUCCGGAAUUAUUGGGCGUAAAGCGUUCGUAGGCUGUUUAUUAAGUCUGGAGUCAAAUCCCAGGGCUCAACCCUGGCUCGCUUUGGAUACUGGUAAACUAGAGUUAGAUAGAGGUAAGCGGAAUUCCAUGUGGAGCGGUGAAAUGCGUAGAUAUAUGGAAGAACACCAAAGGCGAAGGCAGCUUACUGGGUCUAUACUGACGCUGAGGGACGAAAGCGUGGGGAGCAAACAGGAUUAGAUACCCUGGUAGUCCACGCUGUAAACGAUGAUCAUUAGUCGGUGGAAAACUACUGACGCAGCUAACGCAUUAAAUGAUCCGCCUGAGUAGUAUGCUCGCAAGAGUGAAACUUAAAGGAAUUGACGGGGACCCGCACAAGCGGUGGAGCAUGUGGUUUAAUUUGAAGAUACGCGGASAACCUUACCCACUCCUGACAUCCCCCGCAAAGCUAUA